GUGCUCUCUUAGCACAUAUAAUUGGAACGAGAUAGAGAAGAUUAGCCUGGCCCACAUGCAAGGAUGACACACAAAUUCAUGAAGUGUUUCAUAAAAAA
RNAcentral lists this small nuclear RNA (98 nucleotides) under Microcebus murinus (gray mouse lemur). Lineage: Eukaryota; Metazoa; Chordata; Mammalia; Primates; Cheirogaleidae. The record is from RNAcentral.